RNAcentral lists this ribosomal RNA (222 nucleotides) under Nyssomyia umbratilis. RNAcentral's name for it is "partial 16S ribosomal RNA". Lineage: Eukaryota; Metazoa; Arthropoda; Insecta; Diptera; Psychodidae. The record is from RNAcentral.
GAUCUUUAUAUGUUAAAUUAAUUAAUAAAAAUUAGUUAUUAUUUAAUUUUUAAUUAAUUAAUAUAUUAUAUUGGGGUAAUAAUAAAAUUUUAUAAAUUUUUAUUUUUUUUUAUUCAAUUAUAAUUGUUUAUAAUGAUCCAAUAAUAUUGAUUAUAAAGUUAAGUUACCUUAGGGAUAACAGCGUAAUGAUUUUUGAGAGUUCUUAUCAAUAAAAUAGUUUGU